Anolis carolinensis (green anole) is the source of this 2250-nucleotide long non-coding RNA. Lineage: Eukaryota; Metazoa; Chordata; Lepidosauria; Squamata; Anolidae. The record is from Ensembl.
GGAUUUCAAGUCUUUGUUUACACCUUUCAAGGUAAUUCAUCCAAAUCUAACAUAUAUAUCUUGUAUGCAUUUUUCUUUUCACUGAAGUGUGCUUGAGAGAGAACAAGAAAGGAAAGAAAUAAGUAGGCAUAUAACUUGGGGCAUGAUUUACUAAAUAUUCAAUGAGAAUGAGGAGCAGAAGAAAACUUUGUGAUGGCAACCUGGCGAGCGUUUUCCACCAGAUAAGGUGGAAAACAUGUGCAGCUCUGGCUCCUCUUUCUUAAGCCUCAGUGGGGUGCAAAGUGUGUAAAUCUGUUCAAAAUGAUUGAUGAAAUUGAUUUCUCAUCCACCCUUGCAAUCGUAAGGAGAUAAUUCACAGCUCAUGUCUUUCUACAAGAGCACGAGGAAAACAUUUAGGAACAUUUCAGGCUUUUUGUACUCUCGCUGAGUCUAUAAAGGUAUUUUUAAUCUGUGUACUUGUGUACUCAUGUGCACCCAGACAAACAAAUUCCAUUAGCCCCAUUCCACUUCUGCUCUGAAAGGCAAAAGCAUUGCUCACUGCCAAACGAUGAAGGUCAUUGUAUGCACAAACCCACAUAGACAGAUACACACACACAUACUCUGUCUGCACAUGCAAUGCACAGGCAUUCAUUCAGCCACAGCACCGUUGUCAACCAUGCUCCCCAAAUGUGCUGCUAAUGGCAUCAUUAGUGCUCGGCUCCAGAUUGCAAACAGAUGCUCUUGAUAAACUUCAUAGCAGAGGAAAUGCUAAAGGAAAUGAAGCAGAAAUCUUGAAGGGGAUGCAGUUACUGGCAAAAAAUAAGAGAGGAGGACAAUGCUUUUGGAAGGGACCCAUAACCCUAACCAUGGGUUUGUGUCUUGUCUGUAUUGCAUACUGAUUGCAUCAUCCAGAGUGUACUAUAGUCUGGAAAGAGUUAAUUGCUAAGAAGCUGUGAUGUCCUUAAUGUGUGGCUGGAACUGGGGAGUGUCCAGACACAAGUGUUUGUGCAUUACUGAUUACAUCAGUUCUGUUCUGAGUCAAGUUCUGUCUGCCUAGAGUGAGAGUCCUGUGUCCUUUGUCUGCAAGUCUGUUUGUCUUGAUUAUUACUGAAGUCAGUAAAACUUUGUAUAUAGUUUUACCAUCGUCUCUGAUGUCUCUUCAUUCUGCGUUCCACUGACUCCAUCCAACUACUGCUGCGCUGCAAAUUACUCUGACAAAGCCUACCGGUAGUGUGUAUUGUCAAUUCAAACUUCUAUAAGUGGUGUGGGGCUAUUGUCUUCGUUGGAUGGGUGUUGCCUAUGGCCUGGGGGCAAGAGGUAUUAAUCCUCCCAGGAAUGUUUGGGGUUUGGCUGGGGUUGAGACUCAACUAAGAUCAGUAAAAAUAUGUUAUACAUUUAUAGUUAUAAUUAGAGGAAUGGUUUGGGGAGCUGGGUAUGUUUAGCUCAGAGAAUAAAAAGGCUGAAAGGGGACAUGAGAGCCAUGUUUAAAUAUUUGAAAAGAUGUUCUAUUGAGGAAGAAACUGCUCUGGAGACUCGGACACAAUGGAGGAAUGGACUCAAAUUGCAAGAAAAGAGAUUCCACCUGAACAUUAGGAAGACGAUCCUGAGGUUAAGAGCAAUGCAAUAAACUUCCUUAGAGUAUGGUGGAUUUUUCUUCUCUGGAUGUUUUUAAACAUAGGCUGGAUGGCCAUCUGUUGGGGGUGCUUUGAAUGUGAUUUUCCUGCUUCUUGGAAGAAUGGGGUUGGACUGGAUGGCCCACAAGGUCUCUUCCAACUCUAGAAUUCUAUGAUUCUAAUCCUUUUCUUGCUCUCAUCUCUAGUCUUUGUGGCGUGGGAAGGAGGCACAAUUUCAACUCCUUCCUAUAAGGUGUUAAAUUGGAAUCUUUUAACUGGAGUUGGGGGACCUGUAACAACACUAUGUUGCUGGAUUCCAACUCCCAUUCACUUUUGCCACAUACCCAGUGAGGAAGAGAGGAGAGUAUAGUAGUUCCUCAAAAAUCUGGAGGGCUAGAAGUCUCCACACAUAUGUUCUGAAAAGGUUUUUCUGAAUCUUCAAUUUGUUUUUUUCAGCAAGGAGCUGCAUCUUGGAAAAUUUCCCAAGGGGAAAAAAUAUUAGCCGAGAUGUGUGGACUCAACCCUAUAGGAGUUCUCUAAGUGGCUACUCAACACUGAUUCAAGAGGGUAAUGUUCCUCUUCCUUUCCUCUCCAUUGUGGCCUCUUAGGAUCCAGAAAGGAGCCUGCCACUCAUUCCCCACCCUAUUGAAUUUGCUUG